Molecule: long non-coding RNA, 798 nt
Organism: Pomacea canaliculata
Lineage: Eukaryota; Metazoa; Mollusca; Gastropoda; Architaenioglossa; Ampullariidae
Exons: 4
Source: RefSeq, a predicted model, not a curated record
UAAAGUUUAAUUGAAGAGACGCAAGUGUGGGUUUGCCGGCCGAUGGACUGGAAUAACUAACAUGGCUCGAGUGUACUGCUGCCGGCUUUGGGCUUGAAAGUCGCGUAUAAAUUCACUUCUUGCGACCUGCGCGCAUUCACUGACUGCCCCGAGCUCUGACCGCAGGUAUCACUUCAGCAUCUUCUUGUCCUAGACUAUCCGACCAUGAUGCAACGGGUGCGAGAGUUGUGCGUGCUGGCGCUGUUCCUGCUGUCAGUAGCGGCCCCUGUCUUCACACAGAUCCACUUCUCGCCCACUUGGGGAACCGGCAAGCGCUCGGACCCCGCCCUGUCCGACACGGCCAGCGACACCUGCUGGACGCUAUCCGACCUCCGCGCCUUGCUGCAGAUGGUCCGGAUGGUUGAGCGAGAAGUAGAACGCUACACCAUGUGUGCACAAGGUUUGGGCGGCAUUGCAGCUUACAAAGAGCAGUGAUACCCUAAAGGUGCCGAACAAACGGAUGAAACAUGGGCUUGAAGUGUGAGACUGAAAAAAAUCCACCAGUCUUACCAUGUUAAAAACGAAGCCCAUCAUAUUUACAAACAUUUUAACAGCAAAAAAAGAAUUUCAGCCAAAACGUGUGCAUGUUAUAGAUUUAUACGAUAUAAAUUUUAUAUCAUGAGAUUUCGUACAACUUCAAUCUGCAAAGCAGAAACUUGUAAAGUUGCCAGCUGCUGAUUUAUCACAGACCUCUAAUUUGAAAGGGUUGAUUCUGCUUGAAAAGUUUUCCAACCUGCAUUAAAGACUGCUGAAAAAAUG